RNAcentral lists this small RNA (107 nucleotides) under Syntrophobotulus glycolicus. RNAcentral's name for it is "Guanidine-I sequence". It matches the Rfam family "Guanidine-I riboswitch aptamer". Rfam says of the family: This family represents a conserved RNA structure found upstream of the ykkC and yxkD genes in Bacillus subtilis and related genes in other bacteria. Lineage: Bacteria; Bacillati; Bacillota; Clostridia; Eubacteriales; Desulfitobacteriaceae. The record is from RNAcentral. RNAcentral also lists the same sequence under 1 other name.
UUUAAAGUUUUAUAGGGUUCCGCAGUUCCAAGGAGAAGAACUGGCCUGGACCAAGAUAAAACGCAUAGCUGGAUCUAUGUACACGGAAGGAUAAAAGCCUGGGAGAU